RNAcentral lists this ribosomal RNA (253 nucleotides) under uncultured bacterium. RNAcentral describes it as "partial 16S ribosomal RNA". It matches the Rfam family "Bacterial small subunit ribosomal RNA", at positions 524 to 776 of the family's 1533-position model. The record is from RNAcentral.
UACGUAGGGUGCAGGCGUUAAUCGGAAUUACUGGGCGUAAAGCGUGCGCAGGCGGUUUCUUAAGUCAGAUGUGAAAGCCCUGGGCUCAACCUGGGAAUUGCAUUGGAUACUGGCAGGCUAGAGUGCGGUAGAGGAUGGCGGAAUUCCCGGUGUAGCAGUGAAAUGCGUAGAGAUCGGGAGGAACAUCUGUGGCGAAGGCGGCCAUCUGGACCAGCACUGACACUGAGGCACGAAAGCGUGGGGAGCAAACAGG